UACGUAGGGACCGAGCGUUGUCCGGAAUCAUUGGGCGUAAAGAGCGUGUAGGCGGCCACUUAAGUCCUGCGUGAAAUCUUGCGGCUCAACCGCAAGCGGUCGUGGGAAACUGGGUGGCUAGAGUGCGGGAGAGGAGAGUGGAAUUCCUGGUGUAGCGGUGAAAUGCGCAGAUAUCAGGAAGAACACCCGUGGCGAAGGCGGCUCUCUGGGACGUGACUGACGCUGAGACGCGAAAGCGUGGGGAGCGAACAGG
RNAcentral lists this ribosomal RNA (253 nucleotides) under uncultured bacterium. Its description in RNAcentral is "partial 16S ribosomal RNA". It matches the Rfam family "Bacterial small subunit ribosomal RNA", at positions 524 to 776 of the family's 1533-position model. The record is from RNAcentral.